GGGUGCAUGAAGUUGGAAUCGCUAGUAAUCGCGGAUCAGCACGCCGCGGUGAAUACGUUCCCGGGCCUUGUACACACCGCCCGUCACACCAUGGGAGUUGGCUUUACCCGAAGGUGGUGCGCUAACCCGCAAGGGAGGCAGCCAACCACGGUCAGGUCAGCGACUGGGGUGAAGUCGUAACAAGGUAGCCGUAGGGGAACCUGCGGCUGGAUCACCUCCUUUCUAAGG
Molecule: ribosomal RNA, 228 nt
Filed under: Azospirillum brasilense
Lineage: Bacteria; Pseudomonadati; Pseudomonadota; Alphaproteobacteria; Rhodospirillales; Azospirillaceae
Description: partial 16S ribosomal RNA
Rfam family: Bacterial small subunit ribosomal RNA
Source: RNAcentral